Molecule: non-coding RNA, 4435 nt
Organism: Equus caballus (horse)
Lineage: Eukaryota; Metazoa; Chordata; Mammalia; Perissodactyla; Equidae
Source: RefSeq, a predicted model, not a curated record
AUAACUCGGACCGGACCUCCGUUUUGCUCCAGGAGCCACCCCCACUCCGGGAGACGACUGGAGAGCAGCUGCUCCUGGAGGAGACACGCCGACUCCAGCUGGGGAGCCCCGCUGGCUGAGACUCCAGAGAAGUCAAAUCUGGGAGGGAAGGCCUUUCAUUUCUUUGGAUUUUAAUUUGCAAAAGGAAGGGAACUCCCGUGUUGAGCUUUGAUUUCUUUCCUAGAAUUUAAUAAGGGACGGGGCGCCACAGAGCUCAAGUCCAGGGUAUUUUUAAGCUGUUGGUAUCGUGUUCCCUGGAGUAUUUUUAUGCUCUCAUGUGGUGUUUGUGGUACGGCUUCCUCUGCUGAGCUAUAUCAGACAGCGUGGCUUGAAAUCUGAGAUGGGAAACGUAAUCGGGGUGAAUUUUUGGCCUAGGGUGCGUGGGGACUUGGAAUAAUUUUACUUAAUACCCUGUUCUGACCAUUUCAGAGGCUCUGGGCUAACAGCUGAAGCACCCACCCCACAGGGCCUGGGCAGUGAUGGGCGGCAUGGCCGGAAGCUGUGAGGGCACGGCUCCUCCGCUGGCCUGCACCCCUGAGAGCACAGGUGUCCGGGGCUGACUAUAGGCUUGGCUGUUUAGCCCACUGGCUAAGUGGACAAAACUUGGAUGGAGUUCGGCCAGAACCCUGAUCCCACCUGCCUUCUGUUUCCAUGGAGGAGAGGCUCUCUCCCUGCCGUCUGCUCACUCAGUUGUCCCAAGGACAGUGGAGUCGCUAACAUAUGGAAAGCUGCGUGCUGACCAGGAAGUGGAGUGGGAGUGUUAAAGGUAGCGCUCACAGACAGCAAGCUAACCCAGGAGGCGCCUCUGUGGGAAUUUGAAAACGAUGCCCCACUGGGCAGGCAGGUCCUGACAGGAAUAGGGCUUGGUGAGGAGAUGACAUAUUUGUGCAAAGACAAAUGAGCCCCUUUAGCUUUUGCAUGAUGCUUGGAGUGGAACCGGGGCUACACUCCAGUUCCCACUUGUCCCCUCAGGGGGUGCUUUUGUGCAGUGCACAGACUGCACAGCCAUACGUAGCCACCCUGCGUACCUUUUCCUAAUCAGUCACCAGAGGCACUUGCACUUGAAAGUGUCCACUCCACAGGGAGCGGUAGGUGACAUCUGCCUCUGGAACCCCAGCCCAGACCUCUGCUCUCUCUGUUCAGCUUCUCAGGGCCUGUGGUCUUCAAGUCACAAGCAGGCAGUGAAGAAAAUGGUCCUCUUCAGCCCAGCUCAUCCAGGGGGCUCCUGUGCCUUGGGGGUUAGUGAGUACCUCUCUGACUCAGCAGUAAAACAUCCACAGGUCCCUUCCUAGCUAGCGUCUUGUGUGAUGUUCUCUGUCGGCCAGAGCCUAACAGGGCAGGUCAGGUGAGAGGACGAAUGAAUCAAACUCCAUCCUCAUCCCUAAGAAUAAUGAUAAAUAACAAUAUUCUCUCCUUGUAUAACAGCAACAUGGGGGCAGGGGGUGUUCAAAAGCCUUUUUUAAGGUACUUUUACCUUGUGGCCUCUGUCAGGAAUGAAGGAUGUGUAAACCCACACUUGGAUCCAUUAGAGGAAUCACUUUUGCCUCUCUCUGAAGCCCAUCACUGCCUGGCUGAGAAACCCUAUUUGUGUAACAGGGAACACACCAUGACUGGGGGAGCCUCCUUACGACAGGGCUCUCAUAAGAGAGAUGGGGAGGUGGGGAUAGACCAGGUGAUUAAAGCAGAAUUUUAACCAGAAUGUUCCUCCAAUAGUCAGGCCAAGCCUGCGCACGUAUGACACGAUCCAGAAGAGUUCUUUAAUCAAGGGCUUUAUGAGACGGACAAAAAAAAUGGAUGGAACGUGGCCGAGCCGGACCCACACACAGAGAGGAGAGAUAAGGACUCCUGUGUUUGCUCUAUGCUUAACUACAGGAGAGACGCCGUGGGUUCUGAUCACACUUUCAAGUCCUGUAAGGAACUUGGGAUAACCAGCCUGCCUGCCUGGACUCGCCUCUUUCAGCCUCCUCCGUUCCAGGCUGUGGGUCCUGCGCUCCAGAGCCGCCUGCCCUGGGAGUCCGCUUUUUCCCUCCAGGUGGUCAGGGCCAAGAUCCUGGUCUGGGUUUCUGCAAGUCCUCAGCGUUCCUCUUCUGAGGAGGCUCCGCAGGAUUCUGCCUUGGGUCUAGCUCAGGAAGGGCUACUGAGGCUGCGGCUAUGCUCCUCUCUAAACUGACGCCCAGGUGCUGGGGUUUGUCGGGCGAGUGUCUCCUGGGACCUGGACUUUCAGUGCUAAUGCUGGGGACAUUCCAGGCAACCUGGGGCGUGUCGGUCACCCUACCCACUGCCCCGAUCCUUCCUUCAUCCUAGGGGCUGUGUUCUCUGCAUCCGGGGAGAAGUCUCUGCGCGUUCUAACGCCGCCCCGUUGACCUCUCAUCUUCCCCACUACCCACGGCUGAGGCCUGAGCCUGCUACGUGACUGUGCGCCGCGGAAUGUGGCGUGAGAGGCUCGUCUGUUGCCACGGCACCUACAGUCAUACAGAACCUUCCAGCGGUAACCACGUGACUUGAUGAGACAGCCAAAAUGCAAUUUAUAGGAUCUGCUGGGAGUCAUGUGGCAAAUCCACGCCUAUGGGCUUGGCGAGUGCGGGCAUGCUGUUUGCGAGUACAGAGCGGCACCAGAGAACAGGAGUGACUUGUGCUCAGAACAAUUCAGUCAUUUCCACGUAAGGGGGAAAUGAUCAUCAGACAUGUGGAUCCAUCGCAGUCACCUGAGUUGGAACCCUGGCUGCAUUGAGCUGUGUGGCCUGAGACAAGUUACUCAGCCUUUCAGCUUCAUCUUCCUUACCUCCAAAGUGGAGAUAACCAUGCUCAUUGUAAGGAUGAAAAGGGUCUUGGGCCUCAGUCCUGGUUUCUCUGUAGCUUAAACUCCAAGUUUCAUCUGUCCAGCCCAGCAAGACUGCCAUAAGCGCUGGACUACUGCCAAUGUCAUUGUUGUUGCUGUUCUGUCUCUGCUCACGCCGGGAAUUGAUAAAUGACUCAAGGAGAAAAAACUACGUUGAACAUAGGCUCACCACGUGAGUCUCGGACACUUUGGUUAUUCUCUGAUGCCAUCAAACAUCUGAUUUUGGAUUGCAAUCUACCUCUUACAUUUUGUGUUAGUCAGAGACUCAGUCUGAUACAAUCUACUGUGUCUUAAGGAAGUAUAAGUCUGGACUUAUACUUAACAUAUUUCUUAAAUGUGUAUAAACACAAAACUAGAUUCAAAUUCUCAUAUUAAUAGGCUCAUACAAAUAAAAACCAAAACAAAUUAACAAAUUUAAACCAACUUAUAAAAUUUGGUUAACCAAUUUUAAAAAUUGAUUAAGUACAAGGCCAAUAACAUUAAAAUUAUUGUUAAUUUAAUGUAAUGAAUGAUGGGUUAAGAUACGUGACUACCUCCUAACAUCAGGUUUUUAAUUGUGCUAUGUGAUGACUCAAUUCUCCUCUUUUCUCUGUUCCAGCAACUAAAUAACUUAGACUCCAAUUUAUACCAUGUGCCGUGACAUUAUUUGGCCUUCACUUUGCAUAAACAUUAUAUUUAUGCAUAGAUUCAAAUAUGUUCUUUUCUCUUUGGCUCUGAGCACUUAAAAUAGCGUUCUUUGGCUGUAACACAACGGUAGAAAUGAACACAAACGUAGGCACUGAAAUGGCACGGCAGUCCUGGCAUCUGGGGGGUCAUCUUGAUGUUUCAGGAUGUACUUAUGUUAAUGUUCUUAGAUGACCGUUGAAAUGGAAACACAAAUCUGAAAAAUUGGACUCCAGUUAUGGAAACCGCUCAACCAUGGGUCCCAACUCUCCUCCCUCAUUGUUCUCAGCCUUUUCACACCCACAAGUGAGAAUGCACCAGGCCCACAAACCCCCGGCUGAAAGCUCCAGGAUCCCUUGCAAGUAGUCUACACUCACGGAAACCCUUCCCAGCCCCAGCCCUGGGCCAGCACCCGCCCCUCCACCUCAUUAAUAAGGAGCAGGUGGCUGAGGCACUGAGGAAUCCCCAGUGACACAGGGACAACCUCAGUCUCAACCUAGUAUUUCCCUUCUUUCAAAAGGUGUGCAUUUGUGUGUGUGCGUAUUUGAGAGAGAGAGUGUGUGUCACGGGUUGGGUUUUGCCCUUCAAAAUUCGCAUGUUGAAGUCUUAACCCAUAGCACCUCAGAAUGUGACUGUAAUGGAGACACGGUCUUUAAAGAGGUAAUUAAGUUAAAAUGAAGUCAUUAGGGUGGGCCCUAACCCAUACAACUGGUUUAAGGACUUCUAAGAAGAGAUUAGGACAUAGAGCUACACAGACGGAAGAGCAUGUGAAGACACUAGGAGAACGCGGCCAUCUACUCGCCAAGCAGAGACGUCUCAGAAGAAACAACCCUGCCGACACCUUGAUCUGGGACUUCUGGCCCCUAGAUUUUUGACGAAAUAAAUUCUGUUGCC